AUCUUCGGGGCGGGGUGCAAUUCCCCACCGGCGGUAUAGUCCGCGAACGCUGCCCGCAGCAGCGCCGAACCGGUGAAAUUCCGGUACCGACAGUACAGUCUGGAUGAGAGAAGAUG
This 116-nucleotide non-coding RNA is filed under the name bovine gut metagenome. RNAcentral's name for it is "FMN riboswitch (RFN element)". It matches the Rfam family "FMN riboswitch aptamer (RFN element)". From Rfam's summary of the family: The RFN element is a highly conserved domain that is found frequently in the 5'-untranslated regions of prokaryotic mRNAs that encode for flavin mononucleotide (FMN) biosynthesis and transport proteins. This element is a metabolite-dependent riboswitch that directly binds FMN in the absence of proteins. The record is from RNAcentral.